UACGUAGGGGGCAAGCGUUGUCCGGAUUUAUUGGGCGUAAAGAGCGUGUAGGCGGCCUGAAAGGUCAGCUGUGAAAACUCGAGGCUCAACCUCGAGACGUCGGUUGAAACCAUCUGGCUAGAGUCCGGAAGAGGAGUGUGGAAUUCCCGGUGUAGCGGUGAAAUGCGCAGAUAUUGGGAGGAACACCAGUGGCGAAGGCGGCUCACUGGACCGGAACUGACGCUGAGGCGCGAAAGCGUGGGGAGCAAACGGG
This 253-nucleotide ribosomal RNA is filed under the name uncultured bacterium. RNAcentral describes it as "partial 16S ribosomal RNA". It matches the Rfam family "Bacterial small subunit ribosomal RNA", at positions 524 to 776 of the family's 1533-position model. The record is from RNAcentral.